AGAGUUUGAUCCUGGCUCAGAUUGAACGCUGGCGGCGAGCGGCGGACGGGUGAGGAAUGCAUCGGAAUCUACCUGUCGUGGGGGAUAACGUAGGGAAACUUACGCUAAUACCGCAUACGACCGAGAGGUGAAAGUGGGGGACCUUCGGGCCUCACGGCGAUUGGAUGAGCCGAUGCCGGAUUAGCUAGUUGGUGGGGUAAAGGCCCACCAAGGCGACGAUCCGUAGCUGGUCUGAGAGGAUGAUCAGCCACAUUGGGACUGAGACACGGCCCAAACUCCUACGGGAGGCAGCAGUGGGGAAUAUUGGACAAUGGGCGCAAGCCUGAUCCAGCCAUGCCGCGUGUGUGAAGAAGGCCUUCGGGUUGUAAAGCACUUUUGUUCGGGAAGAAAUCGUACGGAUUAAUACUUUGUACGGAUGACGGUACCGAAAGAAUAAGCACCGGCUAACUCCGUG
This 454-nucleotide ribosomal RNA is filed under the name uncultured bacterium. RNAcentral's name for it is "bacterial SSU rRNA". It matches the Rfam family "Bacterial small subunit ribosomal RNA", at positions 8 to 507 of the family's 1533-position model. The record is from RNAcentral.